RNAcentral lists this ribosomal RNA (400 nucleotides) under uncultured bacterium. RNAcentral describes it as "bacterial SSU rRNA". It matches the Rfam family "Bacterial small subunit ribosomal RNA", at positions 355 to 747 of the family's 1533-position model. The record is from RNAcentral.
UCGGGAAUAAUUCGCAAUGGGCGCAAGCCUGACGAUGCGACGCCGCGUGAGUGAUGAAGGUCUUAGGAUUGUAAAACUCUUUCGUGCAGGAAUAAGAGAGUGUGUUUAAUAGACAUGCGAUCAGAAGGUACUGUAAAAAGAAGCACCGGCUAACUCUGUGCCAGCAGCUGCGGUAAUACAGAGGGUGCAAGCGUUAAUCGGAUUUAUUGGGCGUAUAGGGCGUCUAGGUGGCCAUGAAAGUCUGACGUGAAAUCCCGGGGCUUAUCCUCGGAACUGCGUUGGAAACUUUAUGGCUUGAGGGCAGUCGGAGAAAACGGAAUUCCAUGUGUAGCGGUGAAAUGCAUAGAUAUAUGGAAGAACACCCGUGGCGAAAGCGGUUUUCUAGAUUGUUCCUGACACU